This is a long non-coding RNA of Nothoprocta perdicaria, 353 nucleotides long. RefSeq lists it as uncharacterized. The transcript is spliced from 5 exons. NCBI's taxonomy places the organism in Eukaryota, Metazoa, Chordata, Aves, Tinamiformes, Tinamidae. The record is from RefSeq and is a predicted model, not a curated record.
AAAGGGAAGGAUGGAAGAUUUGCUACUAUUCAUCGAUGUGUGUUUUGGCAACACUGGAUCUGAAACCUGGUGAAAGAUCAACUUCAGGAAGAGAAGCCUGGACAUGAAUGACUUCCUCCUGUGGACACAUUUGAAAGGUUCAGAAGAUUUUCUAGUGUUGAACUGCAAGUGAAUAAACUACCUAAGAAACAACCAAAACCAACCACAUAUGCUUGGCUGGAAGAUUAUCCUUUUGCCGUGUAAACAAGCACUGAGCUCUCUGAAGAGAUUUCUCAUCUGGGCUGUUUUGCUGAUGGUGAAACUGAUGCCCUGGAUUAUUAUGGUUGAGACAUGAGAUGCCCUUCUGUCAGAGA